GAGUGGCGAACGGGCGAGGAAUGCGUUUCUAACGUGCCCCAAGGUCGAUGAUAGCUCGGGGAAACCCGGGGUAAUACUCGAUGACCCCCAUGGAUCGCAUGGUUCGUGGGGCAAAGGCUUGCUGCCUUGGGAUCGGGAAACGCCCUAUCAGGUUGUUGGUGAGGUAACGGCUCACCAAGCCUAAGACGGGUAGCGGGUGUGAGAGCAUGACCCGCCGCAUCGGGACUGAGACACUGCCCGGACUCCUACGGGAGGCUGCAGCAACGGAUAUUGGGCAAUGAGCGAAAGCUUGACCCAGCAAUGCCGCGUGCAGGAGGAAGCCCCUCGGGGUGUAAACUGCUGUCAGGGUUUAGGAAGUUCUGACCAAACCCAAAGGAAGUGGCCGGCUAACUUCGUGCCAGCAGCCGCGGUAAUACGAAGGGCCCAAGCGUUAAUCGGAAUCACUGGGCUUAAAGGGUGCGCAGGCGGAAUGGUCAGUGUCUUGUGAAAUCCCACGGCUCAACCGUGGAACUGCAGGGCAUACUGCCAUUCUUGAGGCCGGUAGAGGCCGCCGGAACUCUAGGUGUAGCGGUGAAAUGCGUAGAUAUCUAGAGGAACGCCAAAGACGAAGGUAGGCGGCUGGGCCGGUUCUGACGCUCAGGCACGAAAGCGUGGGGAGCAAACAGGAUUAGAUACCCUGGUAGUCCACGCCGUAAACGUUGUGCACUAGGUGCUGGAGGUUCUGACACCAUCAGCGCCGAAGCGAAAGUGAUUAGUGCACCGCCUGGGGAGUACGGUCGCAAGGCUAAAACUCAAAGGAAUUGACGGGGGCUCACACAAGCGGUGGAGCAUGUGGCUUAAUUCGAGGCAACGCGAAGAACCUUAUCCUGGGCUUGACAUGCAUGGAUUAACGCUGGGAAACCAGCGCCACACUCUUUGAGUGGAACAUGCACAGGUGCUGCAUGGCUGUCGUCAGCUCGUGCUGUGAAGUGUUGGGUUAAGUCCCUUAACGAGCGAAACCCCUGUCGCUAGUUACCAUCAGGUAAUGCUGGGGACUCUAGCGAGACUGCCGGUGUCAAACCGGAGGAAGGCGGGGAUGACGUCAAGUCCUCAUGGCCUUUAUGCCCAGGGCUGCACACGUGCUACAAUGGCGCCGACAGAGCGAAGCAAAACCGCGAGGUAGAGCAAAUCGCAAAAAAGGUGCCCCAGUUCGGAUUGCAGUCUGCAACUCGACUGCAUGAAGCCGGAAUCGCUAGUAAUCGCGUAUCAGCAACGACGCGGUGAUACGUUCCUGAGCAUUGUACACACCGCCCGUCAAGUCAUGGAAGCCGGGAGUACCCGAAGUCGCACCGAUUCAGGUGUGCCGAUGGUAAGCUCGGUGACUGGGACUAAGU
This 1373-nucleotide ribosomal RNA is filed under the name uncultured organism. RNAcentral describes it as "16S ribosomal RNA". It matches the Rfam family "Bacterial small subunit ribosomal RNA". The record is from RNAcentral.